AUAAUAAUAAUAAUAGACUUGAAAAAAAUGGAAUAAUAAAGAAAAGAUUAGGAUGGCCCCUAUGUAAGAAUGACACACAAGUUCAUGAAACAUGCAUACUUGCA
Molecule: small nuclear RNA, 104 nt
Filed under: Cricetulus griseus (Chinese hamster)
Lineage: Eukaryota; Metazoa; Chordata; Mammalia; Rodentia; Cricetidae
Source: RNAcentral